UACAGAGGGUGCAAGCGUUGUCCGGAAUCAUUGGGCGUAAAGCGCGUGUAGGCGGCCGAGUAAGUCUGCUCUGAAAGCCCUGGGCUCAACCUGGGAACGGCAUUGGAAACUGGCUUACUAGAGUGCGGUAGAGGGGUGUGGAAUUCCCGGUGUAGCAGUGAAAUGCGUAGAUAUCGGGAGGAACAUCUGUGGCGAAGGCGACACCCUGGACCAGCACUGACACUGAGGCACGAAAGCGUGGGGAGCAAACAGG
Molecule: ribosomal RNA, 253 nt
Filed under: uncultured bacterium
Lineage: Bacteria
Description: partial 16S ribosomal RNA
Rfam family: Bacterial small subunit ribosomal RNA
Source: RNAcentral